Molecule: long non-coding RNA, 354 nt
Organism: Syngnathoides biaculeatus (alligator pipefish)
Lineage: Eukaryota; Metazoa; Chordata; Actinopteri; Syngnathiformes; Syngnathidae
Exons: 3
Source: RefSeq, a predicted model, not a curated record
CCGGAAGGCUGCACGUGACGCUGAGGCGAGGAAAUAAGAGAAACAAUCUCACACACGUUUAAAAAAAUGAUUUUGCUAAAAAGAAGCGGUGGUAAGAGUCCUGCUGAAGACAGUGAAGGGAGCCAGAAGGUUUUCCGCAUCGCCAUGGAGACAGAGGAUUAUAAUGGAUGCCAGACGAGCCCCAAAUGCCGCGCCUCUUCCUACACAGCUCAGUCAGGGACAGCGUCCGGCGGGCUUUCGUCCUCCACGAUGUGUAGCUUGUCGUCAUCGUCUGAGUCGGAGCUGCUGGCCUCCAAGCCGCCGUUUACGUUCGUCACUGCGAGGGGGACAGAAAGUCACAUUAACACAUCGUUG